CCCUGCAUUCAGUUGCCAUCGGGUGAAGCCGGGCACUCUGGAAGGACUGCCAUCGACAAGAUGGAGGAAGGUGGGGACGACGUCAAGUCAUCAUGGCCCUUAUGUCCAGGGCGACACACGUGCUACAAUGGCCGGCACAACGGGAAGCGAGUUCGCGAGGACGAGCGGAUCCCUUAAAGCCGGUCGCAGUUCGGAUUGAAGUCUGCAACUCGACUUCAUGAAGCUGGAAUCGCUAGUAAUCGCAGAUCAGCCAAGCUGCGGUGAAUACGUUCCCGGGCCUU
This 281-nucleotide ribosomal RNA is filed under the name uncultured Synergistaceae bacterium. RNAcentral describes it as "partial 16S ribosomal RNA". It matches the Rfam family "Bacterial small subunit ribosomal RNA", at positions 1103 to 1382 of the family's 1533-position model. Lineage: Bacteria; Thermotogati; Synergistota; Synergistia; Synergistales; Synergistaceae. The record is from RNAcentral.